This 253-nucleotide ribosomal RNA is filed under the name uncultured bacterium. RNAcentral's name for it is "partial 16S ribosomal RNA". It matches the Rfam family "Bacterial small subunit ribosomal RNA", at positions 524 to 776 of the family's 1533-position model. The record is from RNAcentral.
UACGUAGGGGGCUAGCGUUGUCCGGAAUCAUUGGGCGUAAAGAGCGCGUAGGCGGCCAGAUAAGUCCGGUGUGAAAGUCACAGGCUCAACCUGUGAAUGCCGCUGGAAACUGUCUGGCUAGAGUCCGGAAGGGGCGAGUGGAAUUCCUGGUGUAGCGGUGAAAUGCGCAGAUAUCAGGAGGAACACCAAUGGCGAAGGCAGCUCGCUGGAACGGUACUGACGCUGUGGCGCGAAAGCGUGGGGAGCGAACAGG